RNAcentral lists this ribosomal RNA (433 nucleotides) under uncultured Rhodobacter sp. RNAcentral describes it as "bacterial SSU rRNA". It matches the Rfam family "Bacterial small subunit ribosomal RNA", at positions 29 to 505 of the family's 1533-position model. Lineage: Bacteria; Pseudomonadati; Pseudomonadota; Alphaproteobacteria; Rhodobacterales. The record is from RNAcentral.
AAUGAACGCUGGCGGCAGGCCUAACACAUGCAAGUCGAACGGGCACUUUCGGGUGCUAGUGGCGGACGGGUGAGUAACGCGUGGGAAUAUGCCCUUUGGUUCGGAAUAGCCUCGGGAAACUGAGAGUAAUACCGGAUAAGCCCUUCGGGGGAAAGAUUUAUCGCCAAAGGAUUAGCCCGCGUUGGAUUAGGUAGUUGGUGGGGUAAUGGCCUACCAAGCCGACGAUCCAUAGCUGGUUUGAGAGGAUGAUCAGCCACACUGGGACUGAGACACGGCCCAGACUCCUACGGGAGGCAGCAGUGGGGAAUCUUAGACAAUGGGGGAAACCCUGAUCUAGCCAUGCCGCGUGAUCGAUGAAGGCCUUAGGGUUGUAAAGAUCUUUCAGUUGGGAAGAUAAUGACGGUACCAACAGAAGAAGCCCCGGCUAACUCCG